GAUGAACGCUGACAGAAUGCUUAACACAUGCAAGUCAACUUGAACUUCGGUUUGGGUGGCGGACGGGUGAGUAACGCGUAAAGAACUUGCCCCACAGUUAGGGACAACAUUUGGAAACGAAUGCUAAUACCUGAUAUUAUGAUUUUAGGGCAUCCUAGAAUUAUGAAAGCUAUAUGCGCUGUGAGAGAGCUUUGCGUCCCAUUAGCUAGUUGGAGAGGUAACGGCUCACCAAGGCGAUGAUGGGUAGCCGGCCUGAGAGGGUGAACGGCCACAAGGGGACUGAGACACGGCCCUUACUCCUACGGGAGGCAGCAGUGGGGAAUAUUGGACAAGGGACCAAGAGUCUGAUCCAGCAAUUCUGUGUGCACGAUGAAGUUUUUCGGAAUGUAAAGUGCUUUCAGUUGGGAAGAAAAAAAUGACGAUACCAACAGAAGAAGUGACGGCUAAAUACGUG
RNAcentral lists this ribosomal RNA (454 nucleotides) under uncultured bacterium. Its description in RNAcentral is "partial 16S ribosomal RNA". It matches the Rfam family "Bacterial small subunit ribosomal RNA", at positions 28 to 507 of the family's 1533-position model. The record is from RNAcentral.